GCAUUUUCGUAGAUAGACUCAGACGCCGGCAUGAUCUCUAGUGACGUCUUAAAGCCAGGUGACUGAGGAGAUCCGUUUAGUAACUUGGAAAUUGCCUGAGCAGAGCUUUUCUGAGGUUUAUGACAUAAGCCCCGGUUCAAGUGGUACUUGUCUGGGAUGGAGCAGAGAGAAAUCACACACACAAUGGCCACUGGCAGCAAAGAGACCCCAAGCCAAACAUCAUCUGACUUUCUCCUUCCUUGUGGCUGGGAAUUUACCAGAAGCAGGCGUGCUGGGGAAGCGGUGUGGAUGCAUCUAUCCUGUCUUCACGCGUCUUGGCACAGAGCCCCGCCCACAAUUGUGGGCAGCGGAUUUGAAGAGGAUGAACCUUCAGACAUAGAGCAAGUGAAGAAUUAAGUACCAGGUAAGAUCAGAAGGGGUGGGGGCAAGCUACCGGCUUUCCGUUUGCGUGGAAGCUGCCUUUCCUUCACAGCUCACUCAGCUCCAGUGCU
Molecule: long non-coding RNA, 491 nt
Filed under: Capra hircus (goat)
Lineage: Eukaryota; Metazoa; Chordata; Mammalia; Artiodactyla; Bovidae
Description: lncRNA (ENSCHIG00000007537.1)
Source: RNAcentral